AUAUUGGACAAUGGGGGCAACUCUGAUCCAGCCAUGCCGCGUGUGUGAAGAAGGACUUCGGAUUGUAAAGCACUUUAAGUUGGGAGGAAGGGCAUUAGGCCAAUACCCUGCAGUUUUGACGUUACCAACCGAAUAAUCACUGGCUAACCCUGUGCCAGCAGCCGCGGUAAUACAGAGGGUGCAAGCGCUAAUCGGAAUUACUGGGCGUAAAGCGCGCGUAGGUGGUUCAGUAAGAUGGGUGUGAAAUCCCCGGGCUUAACCUGGGAACUGCUUUCAUAACUGCUGAGCUAGAGUACGGUAGAGGGUAGUGGAAUUUCCUGUGUAGCGGUGAAAUGCGUAGAUAUAGGAAGGAACACCAGUGGCGAAGGCGACUACCUGGACUGAUACUGACACUGAGGUGCGAAAGCGUGGGGAGCAAACA
This 421-nucleotide ribosomal RNA is filed under the name uncultured bacterium. RNAcentral describes it as "partial 16S ribosomal RNA". It matches the Rfam family "Bacterial small subunit ribosomal RNA", at positions 361 to 774 of the family's 1533-position model. The record is from RNAcentral.